Mus musculus (house mouse) is the source of this 765-nucleotide long non-coding RNA. RefSeq annotates it as predicted gene, 38590. The transcript has 7 exons. The record is from RefSeq and is a predicted model, not a curated record. Lineage: Eukaryota; Metazoa; Chordata; Mammalia; Rodentia; Muridae.
UCUACCUCCUACAUGCAAAUCCUGAUGUAAAGGUCUCAUCUAACACUCCAAUGUCAUGUCUAUCUGCUUCCCUCAAUGACUAUGGGCUAACUCUGAAACUCCCACCAACCAAAAUAUCAUCAGCAAAAUAUCUUCCAACGUGUCUGCUUCGCAAAAUGUCUUAAGAGUUUCCAGAAAAACAUCACAACUGGGUCUUUAAGGAGACCAGAAAUUUCCACUUCAAGUUGGUACCACUUCUUAUCAGCAUCAGAACUUGGGAGAGCAGCGACACUUGUUGACUCAGCCUAAACCUUCCAGACUUUGGAGUCCAUUGUCAAUGCUUUAUCAGAUUUGGAGAGUGGAUGCUGCAGGAGCAUGCUAACUGCCAGAGUGAUUGGUGGGACGUGCUGUUGCUGGUACAAAGAAUGAUGCUAACCCGUGAACUUGCUGAGUGUCCUGACAAUGUGACAGGAAAGCUGUAUUGGACAUUGGUUGCCUUCACACGGGAUCACUUUCAACAAGCUCAGCUAUUCACCAUGACAGUUAUCUAGCAACUUGAAGAAAUGCAUUGAGUGCAUAUUCAUAUGUCCUUCAUGGCUUUGGUCUGAAUGGAAAAGAGUGUGCUAUAGAAGGCUGGUAGUCAGAGAUGGCCCCCCUUUCAGGUAGACCCAGUUCAUCCAUGGCUUUGGACGGCAACACUCUGAGUGAAGAGAUUUGAUGGAGACAAUCCAUUUAAAGUUGAGUGUUUCAUGCUCCCCUUCCUCUACCUCUUUCUCCCUUCUCUCU